Telopea speciosissima is the source of this 103-nucleotide small nuclear RNA. The record is from RefSeq and is a predicted model, not a curated record. Lineage: Eukaryota; Viridiplantae; Streptophyta; Magnoliopsida; Proteales; Proteaceae.
GUCUCUUCAGAGACAUCCGGUAAUAUUGGAACGAUACAGAGAAGAUUAGCAAGGCUCUUGCGCAAGGAUAAUAUGCACAACUCGAGAAAUAGUUUAAAUUUUC